UACGUAGGGUGCGAGCGUUAAUCGGAGUUACUGGGCGUAAAGGGUGCGCAGGCGGCCCUGCGCGUCGCGAGUGAAAUCUCCCGGCUCAACUGGGAGGGUGGUCGCGGGACGGCAGGGCUUGAGGCUCGGUGAGGGGCGUGGAAUUCCGGGUGGAGCGGUGAAAUGCGUAGAGAUCCGGAGGAACACCAACGGCGUAGGCAGCGCCCUAGACGAGACCUGACGCUCAGGCACGAAAGCGCGGGGAGCGAACAGG
This 253-nucleotide ribosomal RNA is filed under the name uncultured bacterium. Its description in RNAcentral is "partial 16S ribosomal RNA". It matches the Rfam family "Bacterial small subunit ribosomal RNA", at positions 524 to 776 of the family's 1533-position model. The record is from RNAcentral.